GCAACUCGACUGCAUGAAGUUGGAAUCGCUAGUAAUCGCAGAUCAGCAAUGCUGCGGUGAAUACGUUCCCGGGUCUUGUACACACCGCCCGUCAAACCAUGGGAGCAAGUUGCACCCGAAGACGCAUAGUCCCGCCAAUGGGACGUGUGUUUAAGGUGUGGCUCGUGACUAGGGUUAAGUCGUAACAAGGUAACUGUACCGGAAGGUGCGGUUGGAUCACCUCCUUU
RNAcentral lists this ribosomal RNA (227 nucleotides) under Trueperaceae bacterium. RNAcentral's name for it is "partial 16S ribosomal RNA". It matches the Rfam family "Bacterial small subunit ribosomal RNA", at positions 1307 to 1533 of the family's 1533-position model. Lineage: Bacteria; Thermotogati; Deinococcota; Deinococci; Trueperales; Trueperaceae. The record is from RNAcentral.